This 21-nucleotide non-coding RNA is filed under the name Caenorhabditis elegans. The record is from RNAcentral. Lineage: Eukaryota; Metazoa; Nematoda; Chromadorea; Rhabditida; Rhabditidae.
UGGUUUGCAUAUAUAUCUUAC